UACGUAGGGUGCAAGCGUUAAUCGGAAUUACUGGGCGUAAAGCGUGCGCAGGCGGUUAUGUAAGACAGGUGUGAAAUCCCAGGGCUUAACCUUGGAACUGCAUUUGUGACUGCAUAGCUAGAGUACGGUAGAGGGGGAUGGAAUUCCGCGUGUAGCAGUGAAAUGCGUAGAUAUGCGGAGGAACACCGAUGGCGAAGGCAAUCCCCUGGACCUGUACUGACGCUCAUGCACGAAAGCGUGGGAGCAAACAGG
This 252-nucleotide ribosomal RNA is filed under the name uncultured bacterium. RNAcentral describes it as "partial 16S ribosomal RNA". It matches the Rfam family "Bacterial small subunit ribosomal RNA", at positions 524 to 776 of the family's 1533-position model. The record is from RNAcentral.